Long non-coding RNA from Macaca mulatta (Rhesus monkey), 3949 nucleotides. The record is from Ensembl. Lineage: Eukaryota; Metazoa; Chordata; Mammalia; Primates; Cercopithecidae.
ACAGCGUUUCGGCAGGAAUCCUGAGCGCGGCAAGACCCUCAUACUCGCGUUGGAUUCCCCGGCCCGAGCUCUCUCGCUCUGUGUUGCGGAGACCGUCUGGGACCCCUAGGCAUGCCGGACACGGAUUAGCAGACACCACGGUGGGCACGGCUCUGUGGUGUGGGUGGAGGCAUCAGGAUCCGGAACCGGCACUUGGGUGGGAGGGCUGACUGGGUCUGAGUUUCUGCCCAGGUGCCGCCGCCAUCUGAAUAUGUUUCAAAGACAAUGCUGGCCUGGCAACCGGUGAUGCCCCACGCCCACCCCGACCCUCACUUCUACCCAAGUAGAGGCAACCCCAGAUACAGAUGCCUGGGCGGCAGCGGCUAAGUCUGGCAGUUGGCCAGGCGGCCAAAGGACGGGAACUGGCCGCCCACCCCAUCCUAGUUUCCACGGAGAAACUGAGCCAUCAUGGCCUCUGCGCUGUUGGCUCGGGCUAAAGAGGAACAGAUCCUCAGUUGGGCAGGCGGUGCACUUGGCGACCCUGAGAUCAUCAAGUGCCAGCCCCGCCAAUCCCCGUAGGUGCCCAAGCUGCAGCUGCCACCUGCAUGUGGGCAGCAACUGCCUGGCCACCCCCAGCCCACGACCUCAGCCUACGGAUCCUGGGGCCAGAUGCCUCAGUGGUAAAGCCAGAUGGCCCACUCUGCAACCAAUCAGUCAGCCCUAUCCGCACCCAGGCAGAGUGCUCAGCAUCUGGGUCAGGCUUCAGACCACGUGGAAAAGGAGCGGACCCUCAGGCCUGCUGGGCUGUGCUCUGUGUCCGCAACUUUGAGGCUAUCCAGGGGAAUUCCGCUUUCCCGCGCCAGUGCCUCAGCGGUUGCAGAAAACUGCAGAACUGCAAGUUGCACACAAGCAGAGAUGACGGAGCAACCCCUGACCUUCCGCACCACCCACCCUACCCGCACACCUGCCGCGCGGACCCUGGGCCAGUGCCUGGGUCCCAAGUCAGGCAGUCCGCACAGCAGCGGCACCAGGGUGGGAACCUGUUGGUUAAUACCAUCCCAGUUACCACGAAGAGCCCGCCUCGGCAGCCCCUUCGUUCUUGGAGGAGGCCAAGUCAGAGCACACCUGCGAUGAACAUGACCCUGAGGACGUCAGGUACCAGGCCUGCCAGCCCCCACUGGCAUCGGAGCCGCACCUGCAGCCUAGACGUGGUGCACAGGCAGCAAGUGACUGGACACUCCAGACCAGGCCCGCCCCCCAGUAGCGUGAAUCCUGAGGCCAGACACCCAGGCGGCAAAGUCAGGCCAUCGGCCCCACCAGCGGUUGCUGUUUCAUCGGUGUGGAUACAGAGUGCCCAGUGCCAGGGCCCAGGAUCCCGAGAGAUGUCCAAGAGGAGCUCACCUUCAGGCCAGGUAGGCUGUGCACUCGGCGACCCUGACGCCAUCUAGUGGAAGCUCCGCCAUCUCCUGCCAGUGCCAGAUCUGCAGCUGCAAACCAUUCGUGGGGCACUGGCAGCGGUGACGGCGGGUGGGGGAAGGAGCAGCUCCUGACUCUCCAUGGCUUUCCCGCUACCCGACACUAGCCACACAGACUCCAGGGCCAGAGCCUCAACGGGAAGCCAGGCCAUCCGCGAAGCCACUCAGGUGGCCGGGAGUACUCUUGCCAGCACCCUAUCUCCCUUCGGAGGAGAAGCCGUGCGGGCUGCAAGGCCAGUUCCUCCUCCUCAGGCCGGGCUGGCUGCACGCGUGCUAUCCUGGGGCCGCCCAGGCCAGCCCAGGAGAAUCCUCGAGCCUGGUGGCGCCCGCGGAGAGCUGCAGCCCCACCUGCUCGCGCGGGCCACCUGUGAGUGACUUCCGGGAGCCAGCGGCCACCGCGGUGAAGGCGCGCGCCCAACGUCUUUGCGAAGCUCACUUGGUCUGAGAGGUCGGAGGCUGCGAGUGUCCCUGCUGAAGGCUGUGGUGGACCGGGCUGGAUCGCGGAUUUUGGAGUAUAUCAUAGAUUUCUGAUCGCGGACUGGGGGUUGGAUCGCGGAUUUGGAGUUGGAUCGGGACUUGGGGUUGGAUAGGGGAUUUGGGGCUGGGUCGGCGGGGGCAGGGGCUCCUGGUGAAAAGGUGACAGGAAGCUGCCCCCGCUCGAGAGCCGGUGGUUGGGGGUCUGAGAAGUCACCACCAUGAGGUUGUUCAGCUUCGGGAGCCGCAGGCGCCAGACGGUCCUGGGCUCCAUAGACCACGACUACACGGGUUGAGGGUACCGAGUCUGGGAGGCCAAACUGCAGAAGAUCCACAGGGCGGCUGUCAAGGGUGACGCGGCGGAGGUGGAGCGCUGCCUGGCCCGCAGGAGCGGACACCUGGACGCCCUGGACAAGCAGCACAGAACUGCUCUACAUUUGGCCUGUGCCAGUGGCCAUGUGAAAGUGGUCACUCUCCUGGUUAACAGAAAAUGCCAGACUGAUAUCUGCGACAAAGAAAACAGAACGCCUUUGAUACAGGCAGUCCAUUGCCAGGAAGAGGCUUGUGCCGUUAUUCUGCUGGAACAUGGCGCCAAUCCAGACCUUAAGGAUAUCUAAGGCAACACUGCUCUCCAUUAUGCUGUGUGUAGUGAGAGCACCUCACUGGCAGAAAAACUGCUUUCACAUGGUGCAAAUAUUGAAGCACUGGACAAGGUAUAGUUCAAUCAACUUUCUUUCCAAAAUAUUUGUUUUAACAUUGACAUAGGUAAGGGUCAAUUUUUUAUAUUUGGAAGCUCAACCGUUCCCUGAAAGCAAAUGCAAAUUAAGUUAUUUUGAAAUAAUUAAUUGUCUAAGAUUUUAUUUUAAAUAUUGAUCUUUUGAAAGAAUCAUUAAGGGGCACAGCUUUAUAAAAUGCACUUUGGAAAAUAUUUGUGAAUUUGUUAAAGGUAAAACCUUUUCACUGUUUCCUACACAGGGUUAUGCUUUUCCUUCUUUUUUUUUCCUAAUUAGUAUAAAACAACACAGGAAAGAAAAUAUGCCCUGGAAAUAGGCUUUAUCUUAAAACUCAAACAAAACUAAAGCAACUUACAGUAAAUGGACAUGUUGCUCCUGCUGAUAAUUUUCUGAAAAUCUGAUGUAUCAUUUCUCAGUGGCACAAGGCUUAAGAGGGAAGCAUAGGAAGGGAAAAGGAGAGCAAUCAGAAAUAUGCAGGUCACUUGGAAGUUAGGUAAUGAGGGAAAAUGACAGGAAGAGUUUUUUUUUUUUUUUUUUUUUAAGUUCUUCUAGUUUAUGUGUUGAGACAAAGGUGCUCUUUAGUUUUGGGUCUAAUAAUUUUUGGCUUGAAAAUGAGAGUGAGUUGAAACUUGCCUGGAGAUUAAUUUUAGGAGGAGUCUGAGGAAACCAGAUUGGCAGUGAAUAUAUGUUGACAAAGUGAGAAAAACUUCAGCAGAAGGUGGAACAAAUUAUUAACUGACUUAUUGCCCAUCCUGGCAGAAACAGCCACUUAGAUAAGAGUCUAAAGACUCUUCUCAAAUCUAGUAUGUCUUGGUGGGAAGAUGGGAGAUAAGGAGCUUAUAAAUAGCAAAAUCAAGUAGGAAUUUGAGUUUACUUGUCCCUGUUCUACCCAUACCCAGGAAACUUAACUGGAGCUUUAAUAAAUGACACCAUCUCUUACUCUUUUCUCUUUUUGGCUACAUGUCCAACUGAUAAAGGGAAUUAGCCAUGCAAGUGAGAGAUGAGACUGAAGUGAUUGCCGCACUAAUUCUCAGAAUUGCGCGUUACAGUGACCUGAGGACAUUUUGUUAAAAAUCUACAAUUGUAGGCUUUCCCCUGAGGAUUUUGAUGUAAUAGACCUAAUAAGGCCUGAACCUGUUUAAAAACAUCUUCUCGAAGCUGGGCACAGUGAUAUGUUCCUGUAGUCCCUGCUUGAGCCUGAGCGUUUGAGUCCAGCUUGAGCAACAUAGUGAGACUCUUGUCUCUAACAGCAACGGCCAAAAAAAAAAAAAAAAAAAAAAAAAAAAA